RNAcentral lists this transfer RNA (70 nucleotides) under Loxodonta africana (African savanna elephant). It matches the Rfam family "tRNA". From Rfam's summary of the family: Transfer RNA (tRNA) molecules are approximately 80 nucleotides in length. The record is from Rfam by way of RNAcentral. Lineage: Eukaryota; Metazoa; Chordata; Mammalia; Proboscidea; Elephantidae.
GCAAUGGUGGUUCAAUGGUAGAAUUCUGGCUUUCCACGCAGGAGACUGGGUUUGAUUCUCUGCCAAUACA